GCCCCCCCGCUCCCUGCGAGCCCCCCCCCCCGGAGCCCCCCGCGCGGCAGGGAGAGUAAGUCACUCCCUUAGGGGCCAAGAGGGCAGGUAGCCCCAUGGUCCUGGGAUCGGUGCCGCCCUGCCCUCUGCCCACACACAUGCCUGCAGGAGUGAGGGGCUGAGGGGGUCGGGGGAGUGCCUUUCCUGGGCUCUAGGCCCCAGGACAACUCACUUCCCAGCCUGGCCUGGUGGCGCCUCUGAGAGUCACGAGGAGACGCUUUCAUCAGGCAGAUUUACGGCUUCACAAACACGCUUCCCUCCCUCCCGGCCUGCCCGUCCCACCUCCGGCCCCCGGAGGGAGGGAGGGAAGGGGUCAGCAGUCAGCCCAGAGCACAUCUGUGGGCUGUGGGAGGGGCGGCUGGGGGCACAGUGACGCCGGAGGGACUGGUCCUGGUGGGGGAGAUGCAGACACAGACACAGGCCCUGCCAGCCAGACCUGCAGCGUGGAGGUGCAGACGCGGGCACACAGCGAGAGACCCCCAAGGCCCCCCCGACUAGUCACAGCACGAAGGCCGGGAGGGGCUGUGACAGAAACCCAGCCCAGCCUGCGUGAGCACGCGUGUGCACACAAAUACACGUGCACGCAGGGCCUGUGGGGGUGGGCGGCUGAAGCCACGAGGCCCUCCUGACGCCGAGGUGCCCCAGCACCCAGGCCGCCCUCCUCUAUGUCCUUCACUCUCCCCUGGCUUCCCUGCACCCACCUCCCGGGGUGGGGUUCCAGGGUGGUCCUGCAGGGGCAGAGGCAGGCAUGGGAGGGCUGGUGGGGGGCCCCUCCACGGCGUCCCUGUCCAGGGCGUGGUGCUCAGCUACCCCCAGGGUGCCCACUCCCUCGACCAGAGACGCUUCUUCAGGCUGGCUCCUGCAAUGAUCAGUGUCAAGGGCGUUCUGCUUCUACUCUCUUUGGAAAUGAAGCCCGCGUGAACUGCUCCGUGCACCCGCUGCUGCUGGAGGGCUCGCCCUCCUGCCCGAACCUCUAUGCCAACUGGCUGGUCAUCCUCCUGCUGGUCACCUUCCUGCUGGUCACCAACGUGCUGCUCAUGAACCUGCUCAUCGCCAUGUUCAGGUGCCCCCCUGGCCCUGCUCCGCCCACGUAGGGUGCCCAUGGGUCCAGCCCACCCUGGCCCAGACGGCAGGCUGCGAAUGCCUCUCUGCCCGCAGGAGGGGCCUGGAUGUGGGGUGUCACCCGAAACACCGGCUCCCCUUCGGGCCGGGCCUGGAGUGCUGGCAGAGGGAAUUCAGGGCACUGAGGGGGCGUGCGGGGUGGGCCGGGGUGCCCUGGAGCAGGGGCUGGGUCUGCGCAGGCUGAAGCUGAGGGGGCAGUGGGAGACCCCAGAUGCUCGAAGCCCC
RNAcentral lists this long non-coding RNA (1386 nucleotides) under Sus scrofa (pig). RNAcentral's name for it is "lncRNA (ENSSSCG00005009619.1)". The record is from RNAcentral. Lineage: Eukaryota; Metazoa; Chordata; Mammalia; Artiodactyla; Suidae.